This 253-nucleotide ribosomal RNA is filed under the name uncultured bacterium. Its description in RNAcentral is "partial 16S ribosomal RNA". It matches the Rfam family "Bacterial small subunit ribosomal RNA", at positions 524 to 776 of the family's 1533-position model. The record is from RNAcentral.
UACAGAGGGGGCAAGCGUUAUUCGGAAUUAUUGGGCGUAAAGGGCGCGUAGGCGGCCAGGCAAGUGGAAGGUGAAAUCCCUCGGCUUAACCGAGGAACUGCCCUCCAAACUGCUUGGCUUGAGACCGGGAGAGGUGAGUGGAAUUCCCAGUGUAGCGGUGAAAUGCGUAGAUAUUGGGAGGAACACCAGUGGCGAAGGCGGCUCACUGGACCGGUACUGACGCUGAGGCGCGAAAGCGUGGGGAGCAAACGGG